ACCCAAUACCACGUUGGAAUCACCGAUUCUCGUUCGAUCACCGAAAAAUUAGGCAACGCCGGUUCCGGUUAGUACUUGUAUGAGUGACCAGCUGGAAUGAUCAGAUGUUCUGGUU
Molecule: ribosomal RNA, 115 nt
Filed under: Fasciola hepatica (liver fluke)
Lineage: Eukaryota; Metazoa; Platyhelminthes; Trematoda; Plagiorchiida; Fasciolidae
Source: RNAcentral